UUUAAUUGGAGAGUUUGAUCCUGGCUCAGAAUGAACGCUGGCGGCGUGCUUAACACAUGCAAGUCGUACGAGAACUCUUUAGCUUGCUAAAGAUAGUAAAGUGGCGCACGGGUGAGUAACGCGUGGGUAAUCUACCUCUGAAUCGGGGAUAACUCGCCGAAAGGCGAGCUAAUACCGGAUAAUAUCUAUUAAACUUAGGUUUUAAAGAUCAAAGGUGGUUUCUACAUGUAAGCUACUGUUUGGAGAUGAGCCCGCGUACCAUUAGCUUGUUGGUAAGGUAAUGGCUUACCAAGGCUUCGAUGGUUAGCUGGUCUGAGAGGAUGAUCAGCCACACUGGAACUGACACACGGUCCAGACUCCUACGGGAGGCAGCAGUGAGGAAUUUUGCGCAAUGGGGGCAACCCUGACGCAGCAACGCCGC
Molecule: ribosomal RNA, 421 nt
Filed under: Deltaproteobacteria bacterium
Lineage: Bacteria; Pseudomonadati; Myxococcota; Myxococcia
Description: bacterial SSU rRNA
Rfam family: Bacterial small subunit ribosomal RNA
Source: RNAcentral